CAGGUCGAGCAAGGAUGAAAAUCGGACUUAGUGAUCCGGUGGUUCUGCGUGGAAGGGCCAUCGCUCAACGGAUAAAAGCUACCCUGGGGAUAACAGGCUUAUCUCCCCCAAGAGUCCACAUCGACGGGGAGGUUUGGCACCUCGAUGUCGGCUCAUCACAUCCUGGGGCUGUAGUAGGUCCCAAGGGUUGGGCUGUUCGCCCAUUAAAGUGGUACGCGAGCUGGGUUCAGAACGUCGUGAGACAGUUCGGUCCCUAUCCGUCGCAGGCGUAGGAAAUUUGAGAAGACCUGUCCUUAGUACGAGAGGACCGGGAUGGACGUACCUCUGGUGUACCAGUUGUCCUGCCAAGGGCAUGGCUGGGUAGCUAUGUACGGAAUGGAUAAGCGCUGAAAGCAUCUAAGCGCGAAGCCAACUUCAAGAUAAGAUUUCCCACCGCAAGGGUAAGACCCCAGAAAGACUAUCUGGUUGAUAGGUCGAAGGUGUAAGUGCAGUAAUGUAUUUAGCUUAUCGAUACUAAUAGGUCGAGGACUUGACCAAU
Molecule: ribosomal RNA, 538 nt
Filed under: Clostridioides difficile
Lineage: Bacteria; Bacillati; Bacillota; Clostridia; Peptostreptococcales; Peptostreptococcaceae
Description: partial 23S ribosomal RNA
Rfam family: Bacterial large subunit ribosomal RNA
Source: RNAcentral